AGAGAGACAGACUGGCUUCCUGCUCCUCUGUCUCCCAGUUCUUCCCCCUGAACAGGAACCCCAGCUGGAUCCCCAUCCCUGGACCCGCAGGGGCGCAGGUGGGACGGCCCAUGAGAGGGGCUGCAGGACGGUGACCCAGGGCUGGGGGCGUGCGCGGAGUCAGCCAGGCAGGGUGGAGAGAAUGGAUGGGGACACGUUGCGAGCCCAAACCCUCCCGGCCAGUGGCCUCCCUAACCCCGCAGGGGCCGAGUUCUCCUCUCCCGCCCCGUGGCCUGCCAGCUCCCUGCCACGCCUCUUCCUCUUGGUUUGGGGGUUUCUCUCCUAGCCCUGUGCCCACGCUCUUCCUUUCCAGGAUCUGGCCCCUCCAGGGACCGCUCCCCACUCUGUCGUGCCCCAAGCUAAGGCAGGAUCUGCUCCCGGGCUCAACCCUCACCGUCGCGGCUGCGCUCUGCGGUGGGGAGCGACCCCAGCUCCUGCCCGCCCCAGAGGCCAUGGCUGGCGUCGGUUGCCUUAGCGACGCCGAGGACGCAAAGGUCUCUUCCCACGCAUGCGUGGAGCCUCCCCUCCCCCUCCUCCCGCCCCGUGCUCCUGGGUGCUCCAUCUCCCUAUUCCCUCCUCUUACCUCCAUCGCGGACCUGGGGUCCCCAGGAGCCCUACCCCGCCACCAGGAGGCCCAUCUCCUCCCGGGGAUGUCCCCCUCCCGCCGCGCUGCUCCGGGCUUCCCUCCCUGAAUCUUGCCAGUCCCCAGAACUGGGGCUGGGUUGGUGCGGGGGAGGGAGGCGUGUCAUGUUUGUUGAGUGAAUAAGCCAGUGGCUGGGGAGGCUUGGUUUUCGGGUCCCAGAGCCGGAUUGACUCAGCUGAUGAGUUCAAGAGAAACAGAGACUUUUGUAGGAGGAGGCUGGGGGUCAGCAGAGGAUAUGCUCCCUGUCACUCUAUCAGAGAGAGGGGCUUCCUGCCAGCAAAGAGUGGUUUUUGGAGCAGACCAAGGAAGGAAACAUCGCCAGAAUUCACGGAAUUGGCUGGGGGCUCUGGCUGGAAACACGUGGCCAGCUUCUGGCCUCUCUCCUUGCAGCUGUUUGCCCCCUGUUUCCUGGCCAAGGUAGAAAGAGAACCACCCACUUUGCUCAUCGCCAACCAACCUUGACCAAGGAAGCAUCUGCAUGUGCAAGGUGCCAUCUGAAUGCUGGAGACAUAAGCAGUGUGGUCACUGGUCCCAGCAUUGUUGGGAAGUGAAAAUGUAUCCAUGAAAAGAGAGCAGAAAGUGCUCCGUGGGAUCUCCUUCCAAAGAAACGACUGCUCCCCAAGCCUUGUGUCACAGGUGGCUUUUGUAGGAAUCCCAACGAAGACAUCAGCUUCCUGCUCACUCCGCAUCUGCCUCCCGGCCACUGAAAACACCUGGAAAAGGGACUUAAGUAGCUCUGUGAUACGUUUGCAUUCAGAGAUGUGCAAUACUGAAAUAGACAUUGAAGAGAAUGGGUUUGGGUGUACAGUGGUCCAUAGAUUCAACUGAGGGUAGACUGAAGGCAGGGAGCCCAGCAAAGAGGCUGCCACCCUUGUCCCUCUGAGGAAGGCUGCAGCAGGCUAGAGGUACUGUAGGAAACAGGAAGAGGUGAUCAUUCCAGAACCUCAGAAGUAAAA
Molecule: long non-coding RNA, 1638 nt
Organism: Cebus imitator (Panamanian white-faced capuchin)
Lineage: Eukaryota; Metazoa; Chordata; Mammalia; Primates; Cebidae
Exons: 4
Source: RefSeq, a predicted model, not a curated record